GACAGAGGCCCCGAGCGUUAGGCGGAAUCACUGGGCUUAAAGCGUGUGUAGGCGGGCCCGUAAGUGUCUUGUGAAAUCCCACGGCUCAAACGUGGAACUGCUGGGCAUACUGCGGGUCUUGGGCCAACUAGGGGCAGCCGGAACAAGCGGUGGAGCGGUGAAAUGCGUAGAUAUCGCUUGGAACGCCGAAGGUGAAAACAGGCUGCUGGGGUUGCGCCGACGCUGAGACACGAAAGCUAGGGGAGCGAACGGG
This 253-nucleotide ribosomal RNA is filed under the name uncultured bacterium. RNAcentral describes it as "partial 16S ribosomal RNA". It matches the Rfam family "Bacterial small subunit ribosomal RNA", at positions 524 to 776 of the family's 1533-position model. The record is from RNAcentral.